Molecule: small nuclear RNA, 108 nt
Organism: Clupea harengus (Atlantic herring)
Lineage: Eukaryota; Metazoa; Chordata; Actinopteri; Clupeiformes; Clupeidae
Source: RefSeq, a predicted model, not a curated record
GUGCUUGCUACGGCAGCACACCUACUAAAAUUGGAACGAUACAGAGAAGAUUAGCAUGGCCCCUCCUCCCAGGGGCCAUGCUAAUCUUCUCUGUAUCGAUCCAAUUUU